RNAcentral lists this long non-coding RNA (1187 nucleotides) under Homo sapiens (human). Its description in RNAcentral is "HSALNT0380138". Lineage: Eukaryota; Metazoa; Chordata; Mammalia; Primates; Hominidae. The record is from RNAcentral.
GCUCUCCAUGCCUACCUGUGGUCUCUUGGACACCCUUGCAGGUAUGUGGGCAGGGAACUGCAUGUUUAUAGGAAACAGGCCUAGGAUGGAAGGAGUUAAUAGAUCUUGCUCUUCUUGAGUUUGAUGACAUUUGUUUCCAGUUAAAUAGCAUGAAAACCCAUCUGAGAGCCAGCUGAGGGUGGAUACAGUUCUGGGGAGUUAAAGACGAGUGGUCACAACAGGUCUUCCUCGGCAAUCCGAGCCCAAAACUGAAUCUGCCUCCAUAAGACCAUUAUGUGUCAGCUCUUUAUUUAUAUGAUUGAUUCAUCCAGUGGACUUUUAAUUUCUUAUGUCCAGAUAUUUUUUCAGUUCUUUUUUUCGUGAUACAAGCACCUUGUGGAUUGCCUGUCAUAGAACAGGUUCUCAAUAAACUUUUAUUGAAAAAAGAUGUAUAAGUAGAUUGUCUUGAGUAAUUUUGUGAAUAACCUGACCAACUAAGCAGUAGAAGACAAAUGAUUUUAAAACAGAAAGAGACAUAACUUUCAGUGGGAUUCAGGUGAUCUAGUCGGGUCUGGAAAUGCGCAAGAGAGAAGGUCCCUGAUGCAGUGUGCUGACAUUGAAAUGUGUAGUUGUGGACUAGAUGGUUAUGGUUUCAGAACUGUGUAAGUAAGGGGUAGAUUCCAAAUUAAAUCAAUAUUAAAGAGUAGCAGAGAAGGAAUUUCCAGAUUCCAGCUGCAUUGCUUGUUUCAUUGGAAGUGGUGUUUCUCUUUUUUCUUUUUUUUCUUUCUUUUUUUUUUUUUUUUUUAAACCUCAGAAGAUGACUUCCUGGGAACUCUUCUGGGAGUGAAUGUUAUCAGCAAAUUCCCAAAACAACACCCCUUAGACAAAAAGCCUCCUCACCUAUGCAUUGCCUAGACCACCCACUAAAGGUGAUGGCCACAAAGAGGUGGAUUUGUUGAGUUGGUGCCAUUCCUUCUACUGCCAGCUUCACCAAAACAAUGACACAGUCUUCCUUCCGCAUGGAGACUCUUCUCUUUCCUGUGUUGCAGUGGAUGCCUCCUGCAGAUAAGAAAUGCUUAACUGAGAAAUGCUCAUGUUGGGAUAUCAUCGAUGAGACUUUAAUUUGGGCAUGGUGACUGUUUCCCUUGCUGCCACUUGACUCAAUCCCAGGAGCCUCAGUAGAGGAUAUAAUAUUACACAAGAUGCUC